Molecule: long non-coding RNA, 5812 nt
Filed under: Sus scrofa (pig)
Lineage: Eukaryota; Metazoa; Chordata; Mammalia; Artiodactyla; Suidae
Description: lncRNA (ENSSSCG00050078388.1)
Source: RNAcentral
GCCCGGGUCCUGUAAUCCUUAUGGGUGACCAACCUUGUGCCUCCGGGAGAUCCACACUCCCACCUGGAAACACGCGGGAAACCAAGCCGCCAAAAAAGCGCUGUCUUUUAGCUCCAAGGUGGGAUUAUCCAGAAGGAACUCCUAACGGAGGUAGUACCCCUCUCCCUUCCGCACCUACUCCUGCAUCACCGGGCCUGAAGUCGCACCCACCUCCUCCGGAGAAGUAGUACAACACACUUCUCCCACCCCAAACCAGGAAGCACAGAGGAUGAACCAAGUCAUUCUGCCUGGUAGUAAUCAUGAUCCAUCAAAGAGGAAGGGGUAACUUUGGGUGGGCCUUAAAAAGUGAGUGAUGUCUGCCAUGUGGAGGGGGAGGGAAUGCUUUUCUUCGGGCCUAGCAUUUCCAGAACAAAAGCUCCAAGGCAGGUUUGUUCUAGGAAAAGCUUGGCUAUAAUUCUGAAUCUAUGAGAAUAAUUAGGAGGUGAAAUAGAGUAUUGCAGAGCCUUGAAUGAUAUGCUAACGAGUAUGCAGUUUAAUCCCUAAGUAGUGACAACCAUUGAAGAGUUUCAAGAAAGUGAUAUAUUUUAGGAAUCCCGUUCACUGUUAGAAAAAAUCUUCGAUUUAGAUGAACUUAUAGGAUGCAAAAAAUAAAAUCUGAUCCAAACCUCACAAAUUCUUGUAAUCCGAAAGGGCAUCCUUUCCUCAUUCAUGCGGUAAACCCUUAAGGAGCCCUUUCAAUGGACUAGGCAUUGUGCUAGGAGCUCUACGGAAUGGAUAACCAAAGCAUAUAGGAGUGAAACAGUGGCAGCUAAGGGGGUUCCAGACUUGGGGUUUGAUAGUGGUGCAUAGAAAAAGAAUGAGCUCUGUUGUGCUUGAAAGUAUUACCCAGUCACAUUCCUUACAGCCUGAUUUCCCUCAACUUCACCUCUGUCCAAAGGGUGGUGGUGUGGGAGUAGUGGGAAACCAUAGGGAUAGCACCGCUCAAACAGAAAAUGAAGUUGUUUAGGUCAAGAAGUGCAAGAGCUACAUAAUUGCCUCCAGUGAUUCAAAUCAUUGAAAAUUAUACUAAUAGCGAAUAUUUACUGAACAUCUUUAUGUGCCAGGCACUGGUCUACAAUGCCUCCCAGAGUUUGUUCUCUUAAUUGCUAAGCAAUAGUUCCCUCCUAAUACUGUCUAUAUAACUUUUUUUGGGGGGGGGGAGUAUGUUAGAGCAUAGGGAUUUGAGGAGGCCAGGGGAAAGAGAUAAACAGUAAAGAAGAAAUGAUUUCACUUUAUUUUACUAUUUUUCAGUCUUUGAGGGAUUGCAGUAUGACUCUAUUUCCUUGGUAUAUGUGCUGCCGAAGCAAGCACCUGACUCUGUUUCCUUAGUGCAUUCAUAAAAUAGUUCACUCAGUGAAGACAAUGAAGAUUAUUGACAAUGCUACCCUGCUUUUUCUGAUGUUCUACACCAGGAAGUUGUGAUUUUUAAGGUAAUCUCUUUACCAAAAACUUAUUAAAAGAGGGAGAAGAAUAAGAGUUGAUUAUGACACAUUAAAAAUAACUACCCCAGAGUUCCUUUGUGGUGCAGUGGGUUGAGGAUCUGGCGUUGUCACUGCAGCAGCUCAGGUGGCUGCUGUGUUGCAGGUUCGAUCCCUGGCCCUGGAAUUUCCACAUGCCACAGGCAUGGCCAAGAUAAAUUUUUAAAAUGAAGAAAUAAUUACUCAAAAACAAAAAGCUAGCACCAAAUGAUAAAAUUUAAAUCAUUUCUACAUUAUAUGAAACCAUAUGUAUAUACCAUAUAAUAAUGUUAUAUAUAAGCUGUUCUGUUAGAUUCACUCCUAAUUACCUUAUGGUUUUUGCUGUUACUGUGAAAUACACUUUUUAAACCACAUUUUCAGAUUAUUGCUGGUAAAUGGGAACAUGAUUGAUUUUUUUUAUUUACAUGAUUGAUAUUUUUAUAUACUGAUGUUAUAUACCGUAACCUUUCUGAAUUCUAUUUGUUCCAAUAAUUUGUAGAUUCUUUGGAUUGUAUGUUAAUUAGUCAUAUUGUGAAUAACGACAGUUUCUUCCUUUCCAAUAUUGGCUUUUUAAAUUUGCCUUACUGUGCUAGCUAGAGUCUUCGGUACAAAAAGAAAUAGUGGCAGUGGUAGAGGAUUUCCUUGUCUUGCUUCUGAAUAUACAAGGGGAUUCUAUACGUGUUUACCAUUUUUAGUAGGUUUUCUUUUUCAGGUUAAAAAAUUUCCUUUGUAUUCUUAGUUUGCUGAGAGCUUUUAUUAUGAAUGAAUGUGGAGUUUUAUCUCCAAAUACUUUGUAUCUACUCCCCGAUCAUAUGGGUUUUUUUUCCUCCAUUAAUACGACAAUGUGACUGUGUGAUGAAUUACAAUAAUCGAUUUUCUAAUAUAUUUCCUUCUUUUGGUUUCAUCAGUCCUCACCAUUUAAUAUUUUGUCUAUUUUAAUAAUUUUUCCUUUUAUUUUUUCUUUACUAUUUGUUUGCUGUAUUUCUAAUCGAUUUAUUUUAAAUCUUUCCUAAAAUAAGAAUUUAUAACUAUAAAUGUUCUACUAUGUACCACUUUAGAAGAAUUUCACAGGAUUUUAUGUGUACUAUUUUAUUAUUAUUUCCUAAUUUCUUUUAUGAUUUCUUUUUGAUUCAUGAAUUAUUUGGUUCUUUAAAAAAUUUACAGACAUAGAGGUCUCUUUUUUAGAAAUCAUAUUGUGACAUCAUUAAUCCAGUUAUAGUUAAACUUUAUCUUUUUUUCUGCUUUAAAAUAUUUAAUGUGUUUUAUUCAUCUGGUAACAUAAAGCAAAUUUAUAUACUGGCUUCUCAUCCCAAAAGAUUUUAGCAAUAUAAAACUUUUUCUUCCAUUAAAUGGAAAACUGUGAUUAUUCUAUUCAGUGAUGGAGUUAUUGCUCAUAUUUAUACAUGUGUUAUUAAACUUUUUGUUUUAAUCUAAUUUUAUGCUUAAAGAAAAAUUGUGAGAAUAUUACAAAGAAAUCCCAUAUACCCUUUACCUAGACUCACCAAUUACUAUUUUUCCAUGUUUGCUUUAUCAUUCUCUAUUUCAGUUUGUGUUUCUCCCUCUCGUCCCAUUUUUUCCUCCCCUCCUCCCCCAAUCACUUCCCCUCUCUUCUACUUUCUCCUCUUCCUUUCUCAACUAUUUGAGAGUAACUUGCAGACAUCAUGCUCCUUUAUCUGUCAAUACUUCAGUGUAUGUUUUCCUCCAAAUGAUGCCAAUCUCUUACUAACUUCAGUACAUGUGUCAAAAUAGAAAUUUCACAUUGUUUCAAUUUUUUGUUUCAUAAACCUUUAUUAUCAAGAUUAUAUACUUAUACUCACUGAAAAAGGAAUGUGUUUGGGAGAACAUGUAUUUCAAAUGGAUAAUGUAAGGUCUAUUUUUGUUCCUUUUUUCCAGCUUCAUUGAAACAUUUAACAUAUAGUGUUGUAAGUUUAAAGUGUACAGUGUGAUGAUAUGCUACAUGUAUAUAUUGCAAAAUGAUUACCCACAAUAAGAUUAGUUAACACAUCAGUCAUCUCACAGUUAUGAUUUUUUUUGUGUGCGGUGAGAACUUUUAAGACCUCUCUCCUAGCAACUUUUAAGUAUACAAUACACAAUUGUUAACUACAGUCACUGUACUAUAGUAUUAACUAUACUAUAACUAUAGUUAUAUAACUAUAUAUACUAUAACAGUAGCAUUAAUUAUAGUAUACAUCAUGCUGUACAUUAAACUUCCAGAAUGUAUUUAUGUUAAAACCAAAAGUUUAUUUUAUUUUAUUUUUUUAAUUAUUUCCCCAAUACAAUUACAACUGAAAGUUUAUACCCUUUUAUCACCUUCACCUUUCCCCCACCCUCCCAACCCCUGGAAACCACCAAUCUACUGUUUGUGUGAGUUCAGACUUUUUUUUUUAUGUUCCAUAUAUAAGUGAAAACAUACAAUAUUUUUCUCUCUCUGCUAACUUAUUUCACUUAGCCUAAUGCUCUCAAGUUUUAUCUAUUAUGUCAGAGAUGGCAGGAUUUCCUUCUUUAUAUAGCUGAAUAAUAUUCCACUAUAUAUAUAUAUAUAUAUACACACCACAUUUUCUUUGUCCAUUCAUCUCUCAGUGGACAUUUAGAUUUUUUCCACAUCUUUGUUAUUGUAAAUAAUGAUGCAGUAAACAUAAAGGUUGAAAAUAUCUCUUUGAGAUAGUAAUUUCAUUUCCUUCAGAUAUAUCGAGGAGUAGAAUCGCUGGAUCGUAUGAUAGCCCUAUUUUAAUUCUUUUUUUUUUUUUAGGAACCUUCAUACUGUUUUCCAUAGUAGAUAUUUCAAUUUACAUUCCUAUCAAGGAAUGUGCAAGGGUUCCCUUUUCCCUGUAUCCUCACCAGCAUUUAUUACCUUCUGUUUUUGUUAAAGCCAUUCUAUCAAGUGUGAGAUAUCUCAUUGUGGUUUUGACUUGCUUUUCUCUGAUGAUUAGUGAUGUUGAGCACCUUUCCAUGUACCUAUUGGCCAUCUGUAUGUCUUUGAAAAAAUGUCUGUUCAAAUAUUUCUCACCUUUUUGAGUUGGAUUGUUUUUCCACCGUUGAGUUGUAUGAGUUCCAUAUAUAUUUUGGGUAUUAAUUUCUGAUCAGUUAUGUGGUUUAAAAUACUUCCUAUUCCAUACUUUAUUUCAUAAAUAUGCUAUUUCUGUCAUUUAUUUUAAUGAUCAAAUUGUCCCAGUGGCAAUCCAUUCAAGCUGGAUUCUCUAUGCAUUUGACACAUUCCCAUCAUUCUUUGAUACAUACUUUGACUUCAGCAUUUCCUUACUUUCUUGUCUUAUAUUUCCUGCUUCAUUAACCAUUUCAGGCUUGUCUUAUAUUUCCUGCUUCAUUAACCAUUUCCCUAUGAAUUUAUGGUACUUUUUAGAGGGACAUGGUAUUUAAAAACCAAGACAAAAAAUACAUUGAUUUUUUUUUAAUUUUUUAAAAAUUUUUAUGCAAUUUUAAAGAUUACUUUCCAUUUACAGCUAUUACAAAAUAUUAGCUAUAUUCCCCAUACUGUACAAUACAUUCUUGAGCCUUUCUUUACCCUCUAGUGUACACCUCCCAAUUCACCACCACUAUAGUACCCCUCCCCUCUCCUCCCGCUGGUAACCACUAGUUUGUUCUAUCUAUGCAUCUGCCCCUUUCUGCUCUUUUAUUGUUAGUGUAUAGAAAUCUAGCAGAUUUCUGUGUAUUAAUUUUGUACCCUAUGACUUUACCAAAUUAAUUGAUGAGCUGUACUAGUUUUCUGGUGGCAUCUUUAGGAUUUUCUAUAUAUAGUGUCAUGUCAUCUGCAAACAGUGACAGUUUUAUUUUUUCCUUAGGGUAUAUGGAUAUUUUCUAGCUUGACAUUAUGUUAUUCUUUCCCAUUUAAUUACAUUUUGUACAAACAAUGUAGUUUACAUGAUACUGACUAUAUAGUAUUUAUUGAGACAUGCUUUAUGUUCUAGAGAACAUUAUCAAUUUAUUUGUGCCUGAAAAUGUUUUGUAUAUUCUAAUUGUUACAUGUGCACUCUGUAAAUGUCCAUCAAACUUGCUGACUGUCUUGUCAGCAAGAGUGACAUUAAAAUUAUCUUUUAUAUCACUCUUAAUUCUGUUUGUUUGCUAGAUCUUUCAAUUAUUGAGAAAGAUUUAAAAUCUCCCAGUGAUGGAGUUCCUGCUGUGGUGCAGUGGGAUUGGCGGCCUCUCUGGAGCAGCACUGGGAUGCAGGUUUGGUCCCUGGCCUGGCCCAGUGGGUUAAGGAUCUGGUCUUGCCACAAUUGUGGUGUAGGUGGCAACUGCAGCUCAGAUCUGAUCCCUGGCAUAGGAACUCCAUAUGCUGUGGGGUGGCCAAAAAAAAAAAA